ACCCAGCUGACGAAUCCCAAGUGGGACGAAACGCGUGUCCUGGAU
Schistosoma mansoni is the source of this 45-nucleotide non-coding RNA. The record is from Rfam. Lineage: Eukaryota; Metazoa; Platyhelminthes; Trematoda; Strigeidida; Schistosomatidae.